Molecule: ribosomal RNA, 497 nt
Filed under: uncultured bacterium
Lineage: Bacteria
Description: partial 16S ribosomal RNA
Rfam family: Bacterial small subunit ribosomal RNA
Source: RNAcentral
GAUGAACGCUGGCGGCAUGCCUAAUACAUGCAAGUCGAGCGAACAGACGAUUAGCUUGCUCCUCUGACGUUAGCGGCGGACGGGUGAGUAACACGUGCAUCACCUACCUAUAAGACUUGGAUAACUUCGUGAAACCUGAUCUAAUACUGGCUAAUAUAUUUAACCGCAUGGUUCAAUAGUGAAAGACGGCUUUGCUGUCACUUAUAGAUGGAUCCGCGCCGCAUUAGCUAGUUGGUAAGGUAACGGCUUAGCAAGGCAACGAUGCGUAGCAGACCUGAGAGGAUGAUCGGCCACACUGGAACUGAGACACGGUACAGACUCCUACGGGAGGCAGCAGUAGGGAAUCUUGCGCAAUGGGCGAAAGACUGACGGAGCAACGCCGCGUGAGUGAUGAAGGUCUUCGGAUCGUAAAACGCUGUUAUUAGGGAAGAAAAAAUGUGUAAGUAACGAUGCAAGUAUUGACGGUACCUAAAGAGAAAGCAACGGCUAACUACGUG